GAUUAACGCUGGCGGCGUGCAUAACACAUGCAAGUCGAACGAUGAAACUUUAAUGAACCCUUCGGGGAGAAUUAAAGCGGAUUAGUGGCGAACGGGUGAGUAACGCGUGAGUAACCUGCCUUACACAAGGGGAUAGCCUUUGGAAACGAAGAAUAAUACCCUAUAAAACCAUAAAAGCACAUGCAAUUAUGGUCAAAGUGAUAGCGGUGUAAGAUGGACUUGCGUCUGGUUAGCUAGUUGGUGAGAUAAAAGCCCACCAAGGCAACGAUCAGUAGCCGGCUUGAGAGAGUGUACGGCCACAUUGGGACUGAGACACGGCCCAGACUCCUACGGGAGGCAGCAGUGGGGAAUUUUGCACAAUGGGGGAAACCCUGAUGCAGCGACGCCGCGUGAUUUAGAAGGCCUUCGGGUUGUAAAAAUCUUUUGUAUAGGAAGAAAAUGACAGUACUAUACGAAUAAGGUCCGGCUAAUUACGUG
This 477-nucleotide ribosomal RNA is filed under the name uncultured bacterium. RNAcentral's name for it is "partial 16S ribosomal RNA". It matches the Rfam family "Bacterial small subunit ribosomal RNA", at positions 28 to 507 of the family's 1533-position model. The record is from RNAcentral.